UGGGGGCCCGCAAGGGCAACCGGUGAACGGGUGCGUAACACGUGAGCGACCUGCCUGAGUGCGGGGGAUAGCCGGCCCAACGGCCGGGUAAUACCGCAUACGCUUGUUUGAGGGCAUCCUUGGACAAGGAAACCUCCGGGGCACUCAGAGGGGCUCGCGGCCUAUCAGCUAGUUGGCGGGGUAAUGGCCCACCAAGGCGACGACGGGUAGCUGGUCUGAGAGGAUGGCCAGCCACAUUGGGACUGAGAGACGGCCCAGACUCCUACGGGAGGCAGCAGUGGGGAAUCUUGCGCAAUGGCCGAAAGGCUGACGCAGCGACGCCGCGUGUGGGAGGAAGCUCUUCGGGGUGUAAACCACUGUUGCCCGGGACGAACAUGCUCUUUCGAGAGCACUGACGGUACCGGGUGAGGAAGCACCGGCUAACUCUGUGCCAGCAGCCGCGGUAAUACAGAGGGUGCGAGCGUUGUCCGGAAUCACUGGGCGUAAAGGGCGCGUAGGCGGCUUGAUAAGCGUGCGGUGAAAGCCCGGGGCUCAACCCCGGGUCGGCCGUGCGAACUGUCGAGCUGGAGCACUGUAGAGGCAGGUGGAAUUCCGGGUGUAGCGGUGGAAUGCGUAGAGAUCCGGAAGAACACCGGUGGCGAAGGCGGCCUGCUGGGCAGUGGCUGACGCUGAGGCGCGACAGCGUGGGGAGCAAACAGGAUUAGAUACCCUGGUAGUCCACGCCGUAAACGAUGGGCACUAGGUGCUUGGGGGAGCGACCCUCCGAGUGCCGGCGCUAACGCAUUAAGUGCCCCGCCUGGGGAGUACGGCCGCAAGGCUGAAACUCAAAGGAAUUGACGGGGGCCC
RNAcentral lists this ribosomal RNA (846 nucleotides) under uncultured Gemmatimonadales bacterium. Its description in RNAcentral is "bacterial SSU rRNA". It matches the Rfam family "Bacterial small subunit ribosomal RNA", at positions 65 to 922 of the family's 1533-position model. The record is from RNAcentral. Lineage: Bacteria; Pseudomonadati; Gemmatimonadota; Gemmatimonadia; Gemmatimonadales.